RNAcentral lists this non-coding RNA (30 nucleotides) under Mus musculus (house mouse). The record is from RNAcentral. Lineage: Eukaryota; Metazoa; Chordata; Mammalia; Rodentia; Muridae.
UGAUUUUUAGGGAACAUGCCAGUUUGUACC